AGGAGGCACAACCCCAGUGGCUGCGGCAGCUCUGGAGUCCUGGAUUCAGCUCCCGCAGGAACUACUGUCUGCAGGGCCUGGAGGCUCCGGGGCGGG
This is a non-coding RNA of Canis lupus familiaris (dog), 96 nucleotides long. NCBI's taxonomy places the organism in Eukaryota, Metazoa, Chordata, Mammalia, Carnivora, Canidae. The record is from Rfam.